RNAcentral lists this long non-coding RNA (243 nucleotides) under Homo sapiens (human). RNAcentral describes it as "HSALNT0169066". The record is from RNAcentral. Lineage: Eukaryota; Metazoa; Chordata; Mammalia; Primates; Hominidae.
GUCAGCCCCACAUUGAUCACUUGAACAGGGGAAGACUGAAUCGUUAUCAAAGAAGAGUUGAAUUCUAUCAAGGGGCCAGGAGUGUAGGACAGCAAACAAAAACAGCCCAAAUGAGACAGCUUUGAACUUCCUGAAACACUUUUAGAAGAACAAGUCUUCUGUAUCCUAUAAGAAGGAAAAGACAGUAGAAUUUGUUUCCAGAUUUUAUCUAACAUAAGAAGGCCCUCAGGGAACUGUAGCAUA